This 30-nucleotide non-coding RNA is filed under the name Homo sapiens (human). Lineage: Eukaryota; Metazoa; Chordata; Mammalia; Primates; Hominidae. The record is from RNAcentral.
UGGUCUACAUUAGCUCCAUUGUCCUGCCUA